Molecule: ribosomal RNA, 406 nt
Filed under: uncultured bacterium
Lineage: Bacteria
Description: partial 16S ribosomal RNA
Rfam family: Bacterial small subunit ribosomal RNA
Source: RNAcentral
AUUGAACGCUGGCGGCAGGCCUAACACAUGCAAGUCGAACGAGUGGCGGACGGGUGAGUAAUGUCUGGGAAACUGCCCGAUGGCGGGGGAUAACUACUGGAAAGGGUAGCUAAUACCGCAUACCAUCAGAUGUGCCCAGAUGGGAUUAGCUUGUUGGUGGGGUAACGGCUCACCAAGGCGACGAUCCCUAGCUGGUAUGAGAGGAUGACCAGCCACACUGGAACUGAGACACGGUCCAGACUCCUACGGGAGGCAGCAGUGGGGAAUAUUGCACAAUGGGGGCAAGCCUGAUGCAGCCAUGCCGCGUGUAUGAAGAAGGCCUUAGGGUUGUAAAGUACUUUCAGCGGGGAGGCGUUACCCGCAGAAGAAGCACCGGCUAACUCCGUGCCAGCAGCCGCGGUAAUAC